GACGAACGCUGGCGGCGUGCCUAAUACAUGCAAGUCGAACGCUGAAGGAGGAGCUUGCUUCUCUGGAUGAGUUGCGAACGGGUGAGUAACGCGUAGGUAACCUGCCUGGUAGCGGGGGAUAACUAUUGGGAACGAUAGCUAAUACCGCAUAAGAGUAGAUGUCGCAUGACAUUUGCUUAAAAGGUGCAAUUGCAUCACUACCAGAUGGACCUGCGUUGUAUUAGCUAGUUGGUGAGGUAACGGCUCACCAAGGCAACGAUACAUAGCCGACCUGAGAGGGUGAUCGGCCACACUGGGACUGAGACACGGCCCAGACUUCUACGGGAGGCAGCAGUAGGGAAUCUUCGGCAAUGGACGGAAGUCUGACCGAGCAACGCCGCGUGAGUGAAGAAGGUUUUCGGAUCGUAAAGCUCUGUUGUAAGAGAAGAACGAGUGUGAGAGUGGAAAGUUCACACUGUGACGGUAUCUUACCAGAAAGGGACGGCUAACUACGUG
RNAcentral lists this ribosomal RNA (495 nucleotides) under uncultured bacterium. Its description in RNAcentral is "partial 16S ribosomal RNA". It matches the Rfam family "Bacterial small subunit ribosomal RNA", at positions 28 to 507 of the family's 1533-position model. The record is from RNAcentral.